AGAAAAGGAAAAAGGAUCGGUGGCAGCAAGUAGACCGGUGACGACGACCGUCGAGCGCCACCCGAACAGGAAGAGGAGCCACUUUCGGUUCUCUUUCCUUCUCACAGUGUAAUGGAUAUGAGGCUCCCAGGUGAUCAUGGUAGAGGUCUGCUGCUUCUGAGGAUCCUGCAUCUCUUCUUGCACCACUUUGGGCCAGAAGAUUGGGAAUUCCUUUGCCUGAUAAGAAGCUGUGUGUCAAACAGUCCUGGAGUGUCAACCACACUGACAUCCCUCCCAUCUACUGCUGCCUGUUUCCUUUCUGUUUUAUGUGUUACAGAGGACCAGUUCAGUUCAGAAUGGAAACUUCUCCCACCAAGGAUGGUGUUUCCUGAUGCACUCUUCCCAACACCGGUUUUUCCAAGCAGAACAAUCCUUCUCUCUGGGAGAUUCCUGAUGGAGGAGCUCCUUGAAUGUGUUGAAUCUGUGUAUAGAGAAAUACAUCACAUUUGAUAAACUGAUACAGUAAAAUGACUACCAUCUCAUCCCCUGUACAGGCAGUUAUUGGUGCACUGAAUAAUAAUGCUUAAUAUCUGGUGUUUAAAUCUUUAUGGUGAAUGUGGAGUUCAGGUGGAAUUUGUAAAAGGGAUCUGUCGCACGCCAAGACAACUUAUUAAAGUUACAAUGGGGGGGAUAAUGCAUUUACAUUAUUGUUAUCCCAGAAUAAGAGACCAGAGGGUUAUACUACGUAGCGGGAUAGAGGAGUUAGCUAGCUAACUUUGGUGAAUUCUGAGUUCAACUCGGGAUAACUGUCAAACUUAACGAGGACCCCUUUUUCACGCCUAUAGAAAAUAACUGUAUGAAGUUCUACUGUGUUAUGAUUCAAAUGCAUCCUGUCAUCACUAAAUGUGUACUGUAUUUCAAUAUUACUAUUUUAACACAAAAUAACAUUUUAUUAGUAAAUAUUUAAUCAAUCUUGA
Molecule: long non-coding RNA, 956 nt
Organism: Oncorhynchus masou masou (cherry salmon)
Lineage: Eukaryota; Metazoa; Chordata; Actinopteri; Salmoniformes; Salmonidae
Exons: 3
Source: RefSeq, a predicted model, not a curated record